UAAAUGAGAGACACAGGUACCAGAACUAAAUGAGAGACACAGGUGCCAGGAUUUAAUGAGAGACACAGGUACCAGGUCUAAAUGAGAGACACAGGUACCAGGACUUAAUGAGAGACACAGGUACCAGGUCUUAAUGAGAGACAUACGUACCAGGACUUAAUGAGAGACACAGGUGCCAGGUCUUAAUGAGAGACACAGGUACCAGGACUAAAUGAGAGACACGGGUGCCAGGUCUAAAUGAGAGACAUACGUACCAGGACUUAAUGAAAGACACAGGUGCCAGGACUUAAUGAGAGACACAGGUACCAGGACUAAAUGAGAGACACAGGUACCAGGUCUUAAUGAGAGACACAGGUGCCAGGACUUAAUGAGAGACACAGGUGCCAGGACUUAAUGAGAGACACAUGAUGUACGUUAUAGCAUAGAUACCAGGAGGUACGUUACAGCAUA
Long non-coding RNA from Haliotis rubra (blacklip abalone), 450 nucleotides. RefSeq lists it as uncharacterized. Lineage: Eukaryota; Metazoa; Mollusca; Gastropoda; Lepetellida; Haliotidae. The record is from RefSeq and is a predicted model, not a curated record. The transcript has 3 exons.